RNAcentral lists this ribosomal RNA (306 nucleotides) under Triticum aestivum (bread wheat). Its description in RNAcentral is "partial small subunit ribosomal RNA". The record is from RNAcentral. Lineage: Eukaryota; Viridiplantae; Streptophyta; Magnoliopsida; Poales; Poaceae.
AUGUUGAAGAAUAUGUUUCCGAAGAAUAACGAGUUGCCCGCCAGUACGUACGAAGCAAAGAAGGUUGUCUGCCCUCUAGGUUUAGAGGUUCUGAAGAUACAUGCAUGCAUUAACGACUGCAUCCUCUACCGCGGUGAAUACGAGAAUUUGAAUGAAUGCCCUAUAUGCACUGCAUUGCGUUAUAAGAUCAGAGGCGAUGACCCUGGUGACGAUGUUGAGGGCGAGAAACCCAGGAAGAGGGUUCCCGCCAAGGUGAUGUGGUAUGCUCCUAUAAUACCACGGUUGAAACGUCUGUUCAUGAACAAA